This 454-nucleotide ribosomal RNA is filed under the name Dothideomycetes sp. genotype 788 JMUR-2016. Its description in RNAcentral is "eukaryotic LSU rRNA". It matches the Rfam family "Eukaryotic large subunit ribosomal RNA", at positions 1 to 439 of the family's 3401-position model. Lineage: Eukaryota; Fungi; Ascomycota; Dothideomycetes. The record is from RNAcentral.
UUUAUAUUUUCUAGGUUGACCUCGGAUCAGGUAGGGAUACCCGCUGAACUUAAGCAUAUCAAUAAGCGGAGGAAAAGAAACCAACAGGGAUUGCCCUAGUAACGGCGAGUGAAGCGGCAAUAGCUCAAAUUUGAAAGCUGGCCUUUGGUCCGCAUUGUAAUUUGUAGAGGAUGCUUUUAGGCAGCCGCCGGUCUAAGUUCCUUGGAACAGGACGUCAUAGAGGGUGAGAAUCCCGUAUGUGACCGGCUCAGGCACCUUCUGUAAAGCUCCUUCGACGAGUCGAGUUGUUUGGGAAUGCAGCUCUAAAUGGGAGGUAAAUUUCUUCUAAAGCUAAAUACUGGCGAGAGACCGAUAGCGCACAAGUAGAGUGAUCGAAAGAUGAAAAGCACUUUGGAAAGAGAGUUAAAAAGCACGUGAAAUUGUUGAAAGGGAAGCGCUUGCAAUCAGACUUGGC